CCUACGGGAUGCAGCAGUGAGGAAUAUUGGUCAAUGGGCGCGAGCCUGAACCAGCCAAGUAGCGUGAAGGAUGACUGCCCUACGGGUUGUAAACUUCUUUUAUAAAGGAAUAAAGUGAGGCACGUGUGCCUUUUUGUAUGUACUUUAUGAAUAAGGAUCGGCUAACUCCGUGCCAGCAGCCGCGGUAAUACGGAUGAUCCGAGCGUUAUCCGGAUUGAUUGGGUUUAAAGGGAGCGUAGAUGGGUUGUUAAGUAAGUUGUGAAAGUUUGCGGCGAAACCGUAAAAUUGCAAUUGAUACUGGCAGUCUUGAGUACAGUUGAGGUAGGCGAAAUUCGUGGUGUAGUGGGGAAAUGCUUAGAUAUCACGAAGAACUCCUAUUGCGAAGGCAGUUUACUAAACUGCCACUGACAUUGAUGCUCGAAAGUGUGGGAAUCAAACAGGAUUAGAUACCCGAGUAGUC
This 460-nucleotide ribosomal RNA is filed under the name uncultured bacterium. RNAcentral describes it as "partial 16S ribosomal RNA". It matches the Rfam family "Bacterial small subunit ribosomal RNA", at positions 338 to 795 of the family's 1533-position model. The record is from RNAcentral.